UGGGGAAUAUUGCACAAUGGGGGAAACCCUGAUGCAGCAACGCCGCGUGAGUGAUGAAGGUCUUCGGAUUGUAAAGCUCUGUCUUCGGGGACGAUAAUGACGGUACCCGAGGAGGAAGCCACGGCUAACUACGUGCCAGCAGCCGCGGUAAUACGUAGGUGGCAAGCAUUAUCCGGAUUUACUGGGCGUAAAGGGUGCGUAGGCGGAUUUUUAAGUGAGAUGUGAAAUACCCGGGCUCAUCCUGGGGGCUGCAUUUCAAACUGGAAAUCUAGAGUGCAGGAGAGGAAAGUGGAAUUCCUAGUGUAGCGGUGAAAUGCGUAGAGAUUAGGAAGAACACCAGUGGCGAAGGCGACUUUCUGGACUGUAACUGACGCUGAGGCACGAAAGCGUGGGGAGCAAACA
RNAcentral lists this ribosomal RNA (402 nucleotides) under uncultured bacterium. Its description in RNAcentral is "bacterial SSU rRNA". It matches the Rfam family "Bacterial small subunit ribosomal RNA", at positions 355 to 774 of the family's 1533-position model. The record is from RNAcentral.